This 772-nucleotide long non-coding RNA is filed under the name Bos taurus (domestic cattle). Its description in RNAcentral is "long non-coding RNA NONBTAT023971". The record is from RNAcentral. Lineage: Eukaryota; Metazoa; Chordata; Mammalia; Artiodactyla; Bovidae.
UUUUCCUACCCCUGUCCAGGUGAGAAAGUUGAGGCUGAGAAAUAGUUUUAUAAAACUCUGAGGUACAUGUUAAAAUAUGCUUCUGUAUUAUUUAAAAAUGCAUAAGACUCUACAUUUAUUUGCGAGUGGUUAUAAAAGAAAUUCAUAGCUGUUCUUGCCAAUUAAUCUCUUUUAUGCUCUAUUUUUUUGUUGUUGUUGUUUAUAACCAUACCUUCCUUCUUCAAAAUUAAUUUCCUAUAGUCAUGUUUUGGUUUUCGACUUUAUUGAAAGGAAACUUCAGAAAUGAAGGUUUCAUGAAAUUGUGUGAUGCAAAGUCACAGAAUAAUGUUUCAAGUCCAUGAGUUAUGCACACCCACAUGCAUAUCUCAUGCAAUUUUCUAUCUGAGAUUGCUUUAGUAUUUCUAGAAGAAACACAAAGCAUUAGCUAGAAAGGGUACCAUUUCAUAAGAAUUCUUCCUUCACCAGAAGAAUUGGUCUGACAUAUUAUUCAGUGCACAAAUUAUAUUACUUUCAUGUGUGUUAAUCUGUUUGGUAUUAAAACUGCUAGCGUCUUUUAACCAUUAACAUGUUUUACCACUCCACUUUCAAAUUCGUGAUCUCAGAUAAUUAUAAAGAUUUUGAUGUUAAUCCCACAUUAAGUGAACAACUAUGAAAAUACCCUGAGAGCAUUAUUAUACUUACAUAAAUGCCAGCGAACAUAAUUGUACAGGGAACACAAUUACUUUUUUAUCUGCCAUUAUCCUAUGGGGAUAUGCGUUCACUUCUUUCUUAA